RNAcentral lists this transfer RNA (65 nucleotides) under Paraphlugiolopsis jiangi. Its description in RNAcentral is "tRNA-Thr". It matches the Rfam family "tRNA". From Rfam's summary of the family: Transfer RNA (tRNA) molecules are approximately 80 nucleotides in length. The record is from RNAcentral. Lineage: Eukaryota; Metazoa; Arthropoda; Insecta; Orthoptera; Tettigoniidae.
GUUUUAGUAGUUUAAACAAAAACACUGGUCUUGUAAAUCAAUAAUAAGUAAUUACUUCUAAAACU